RNAcentral lists this ribosomal RNA (421 nucleotides) under uncultured bacterium. RNAcentral describes it as "partial 16S ribosomal RNA". It matches the Rfam family "Bacterial small subunit ribosomal RNA", at positions 360 to 773 of the family's 1533-position model. The record is from RNAcentral.
AAUAUCGGACAAUGGGGGCAACCCUGAUCCAGCCACGCCGCGUGUUUGAAGAAGGUCUUCGUAUUGUAAACCACUUUAGGUGGGGGGGACGGGCUUUGGGUUAAUACCCUGUAGUUUGACCGUUACCAACAGAAUAAGAACCGCCUAACUCUGUCCCAGCAGCCGCGGUAAUACAGAGGGUGAAAGCGUUAAUCGGAAUUACUGGGCGUAGAGCGCGCGUAGGUGGUUCAGUAAGAUGGGUGUGAAAUCCCUGGGCUUAACCUGGGAACUGCUUUCAUAACUGCUGAGCUAGAGUACGGUAGAGGGUAGUGGAAUUUCCUGUGUGGCGGUGAAAUGCGUAGAUAUAGGAGGGAACACCAGUGGCGAAGGCGACUACCUGGACUGAUACUGACACUGAGGUGCGAAAGCGUGGGGAGCAAAC